Molecule: ribosomal RNA, 382 nt
Filed under: uncultured eukaryote
Lineage: Eukaryota
Description: partial 18S ribosomal RNA
Rfam family: Eukaryotic small subunit ribosomal RNA
Source: RNAcentral
UGUAAUCGUAUACCAAAGUUGUUGCAGUUAAAACGCUCGUAGUCGGAAUUUGGUAGUUCCGGAUGUGUGCACGUCGUGUGCGCACUUCGCGGGGAUUGCUUUUGUGGUCUUGCGUAGGAUGAGGCACUUUUAUUAGUGAACGUCCUCACGCAACCACUUUUUACUGUGAGAAAAUCAGAGUGCUCAAAGCAGGCAUUUGCCGUGAAUGUAUUAGCAUGGAAUAAUGGAAUAGGACUUGGUUCUAUUUUGUUGGUUUGUUGGGACUGAGUAAUGAUUAAGAGGGACAGUUGGGGGCAUUUGUAUUUCGGUGCUAGAGGUGAAAUUCUUAGAUUACCGAAAGACAAACUGCUACGAAAGCGUCUGCCAAGGAUGUUUUCAUUGA